GACCGUAGCUCAGUGGUAGAACAUCUGCUUGGUACGCAGAAGUUGUCAGUUGUGAUAGGGUUGGGGGAGGCCCCAGUUUGAGCUCCUGGGGAGCUACU
Non-coding RNA from Podarcis lilfordi (Lilford's wall lizard), 98 nucleotides. NCBI's taxonomy places the organism in Eukaryota, Metazoa, Chordata, Lepidosauria, Squamata, Lacertidae. The record is from the annotation of a GenBank genome assembly.